UUUUAGAUCUCCCUAAACUGACUGACCCGAAGACUUGGAGAUCCAAUCUCAACUAGGACUAAGGCAUCAGUACCAUAGGGCAGUCUGAAAGGUGAAUCCCCUGUUGUAGUCCGGUAAGCCCAUAACACACUGAGCAGCUCUUCUGGCCAUCUUCCUUUAGCUUCAUCCAAUCUGCGUUUGAUCCCAUUCAGCAGCGUUCUGUUGGUCACCUCGACCUGCCCGUUUGACUGUGGAUGAGCCACCAAAGUCUUUCUGUGUUGAACCUCCAACUCCUUCAGAAAUCCUUCAAACUUCGAUCCC
This 300-nucleotide long non-coding RNA is filed under the name Panax ginseng (ginseng). Its description in RNAcentral is "long non-coding RNA (PGIN_LNC011433)". Lineage: Eukaryota; Viridiplantae; Streptophyta; Magnoliopsida; Apiales; Araliaceae. The record is from RNAcentral.